CUUCAUUCUUCUCACUGCCUCCUUUCCUUCUCACUGUUCAGAGCGCCCUGUGCAUGCAAAUCAAGGAACUGACUUGAGAUGACUUUCAGAGCUCUGUCUCUUGUGUUUCUUUGGCCUGGAAGAAACAACGCCUAAGUUUUGAGCUGCAUGAAGCUGCCUGACAUCUAAGGAUCUCUGAAGAGAACUGGGACCUGAAACCCAUCUGAAAUGUAUCUGCAGACAGGUCAAGUUCAUCGAGAGUCACCUCCUGCCUGACACUCCAGUCAUUAAUUCCAGAGCCUGUGUGAUCCGCUUGCCAGAACCUGAUUGCUUGGUGAUCAGAGAUGGAGAGAUUGUCUGAGCAGAAGUUCCUAAGGAGGUGGACUACAUCAAGGGGCAGUCAUCACUGAUACUCCUCUUCCCCUGCCCACCCAAGUGGAGAAAGGAGACAUGACCUUUUCCUACUGUCUCA
This 451-nucleotide long non-coding RNA is filed under the name Homo sapiens (human). RNAcentral describes it as "HSALNT0135385". Lineage: Eukaryota; Metazoa; Chordata; Mammalia; Primates; Hominidae. The record is from RNAcentral.